AACGAACGCUGGCGGCAGGCUUAACACAUGCAAGUCGAACGCCCCGCAAGGGGAGUGGCAGACGGGUGAGUAACGCGUGGGAAUCUACCCAAUUCUACGGAACAACAGUUGGAAACGACUGCUAAUACCGUAUACGCCCUACGGGGGAAAGAUUUAUCGGAAUUGGAUGAGCCAGCGUUGGAUUAGCUAGUUGGUGGGGUAAAGGCCUACCAAGGCGACGAUCCAUAGCUGGUCUGAGAGGAUGAUCAGCCACAUUGGGACUGAGGCACGGCCCAAACUCCUACGGGAGGCAGCAGUGGGGAAUAUUGGACAAUGGGCGCAAGCCUGAUCCAGCCAUGCCGCGUGAGUGAUGAAGGUCUUAGGAUUGUAAAGCUCUUUCACCGGAGAAGAUAAUGACGGUAUCCGGAGAAGAAGCCCCGGCUAACUUCGUGCCAGCAGCCGCGGUAAUACGAAGGGGGCUAGCGUUGUUCGGAAUUACUGGGCGUAAAGCGCACGUAGGCGGAUAGUUU
This 509-nucleotide ribosomal RNA is filed under the name uncultured bacterium. Its description in RNAcentral is "bacterial SSU rRNA". It matches the Rfam family "Bacterial small subunit ribosomal RNA", at positions 28 to 585 of the family's 1533-position model. The record is from RNAcentral.